Molecule: RNA transcript, 8001 nt
Organism: Scatophagus argus
Lineage: Eukaryota; Metazoa; Chordata; Actinopteri; Scatophagidae
Exons: 3
Source: RefSeq, a predicted model, not a curated record
AAAGUUAAAAAAAAAAAAAAAAAACCUCUGCAGAUUCCCAGCAGACAGAAACAUUCAUGCCUUCUGUCUUCUGUUGCUUUAAUCUUUAUUUAUUCAGGGAAGACUGUCUAGUCACGCGGGCUCUUUUGUGGCCAAGUGCAGCUUCAUGCUCACACAGUUUAAUGUAGCAGCAAGUUAGAUCUUCUCAGUUAAACUGCGUUUUCUUCUCUGAGCAGCCUCUGAGCUGCUCCAUGGGAGAGAUUUGCUGUUAUGCAACUGUAUAGUACUGUGUGUGUCACGCCAACUGACAAAAAAGCACAACCAAAACAUCAAAAACCUUUCAUUCACUUUGCAAACAAAACAAGUCUUCAGCCGGACCUACAGGGGGCAGUCAAUCAGUUCAACAACACCAGCAAAGCACUCCAACCACUUCCUGUCAAGAGGAGGAACUUCCUGUUAGACGGCCAUCUUAACCAUCAGUUCAACACAUGCUGUGGGAGACAAAGGAGGAAAGUUUGUGGAGAGCAAAAGCUUAAAGAAACAAACCAAACCAAGAAAACUAAAAUCCCUCAGUUCACCGUCAAACGCAACUGGUUUUCAACCUGCUGCUAUUGAAUGACUGAAUGACCCCUUCAUCAACAAAACAAAGUUCAAUAAAACAUAAAAAGGGGAAAUCCUUGUCAAGAGUUGUUCCUUGCGUGACCAAGCUCUUUCAAGUGGAGCAUUAACUGAGGGAUCAAAUAAAAAGAAGAAAAAAAAAACACCAGAACUUGACAGUUGAAAACCAGCGUGGCAAGAGACAGAGGAUCAACGGCCUAUAGUCAACCUUGUCAACGUGAGGAAAAACUGCAAGAAUGGCAGAAGACGCCACUGGAAAAAGCAUCAAACAGCUGAAGAGUGAGAGGACUUCAGCAAAGACGGCCUUCACAAAACAGGCCAACUACGUCUCACGAGUGACUGGAUACCUGAUGAAAGCAGAGCUCCAAGCUGAAUACAUGAACUCUGCUCACUGUCCAGGAAAAGUAAACUACGCAAAUGAUGAGUAUGAGCUUAGUCUGCGGGCGGAGGCUGGCGAAGAGGAAGGUGAGAAGAAGCUGCACCCAAGCCAAGAGAGUGAUCUGGAAAAAACCACAGAGGACUGCAAAAAUAGACUGGAGGAAGUACGCAAAAGCGUGCUGUCCAGUCUCUGGUCAAGGUACGCCGAGGGGGAGCUGACCUUCGCCAUUGAAGAAGCCGAGUCGGCCUGUGAACAGGCUCAUAGAACCUUAGUGUCUCUGCUCAACAAAGAUGGGUAUGAGCACCAGCUGGAAACAGCAAAGCAGGUUGUCGCAGACACAAUGGCUGCAUUCAAGCGGUGGGAAGAAUGGAUUCCCGCUGAGGAGAAGACUGAAUUGGAUGGCAGAAUAAAAGGCCUAAGGAAGCUGAAGAGCAACCUCGUGGCAAAAAAGGCUGAGUUCCUGACAGUGGAGAGAACUGCAGAAGAGGAGAGGCGGAAUACAACUCAUCAGGCCCAGUCAGCACCCCAGCCAGCCCAGCAGCCUGUCCUCAAAAUAAAGCCCACCUGCCUGCCCAGAUUCCAUGGCUCAAGGAGGGAAUUCCACCAAUGGAAAAAAGACUGGGAAAAUCUACAGCGGCAAGGGGAGCCAACCGGCUCUGCGGAGGCGAAGAAGAUGCAGCUCCUUGACAGCAUGGAUGACAGGAUCCGCAAAGACCUCCGGCUCUCCACCUACAAGUCUGCCGAGGAGAUGUUUAAGGUCCUGGAAAACAGGUUCGGGAAUAAGACCACCAUCGCCCUGGAGAUUGUCGAGGACCUGGAGAAGAUCCCACCUCUAAAAUCCCACCAGCCCAGGAGGAUGAUCGAGCUCAUCCAGUCAGUUGAAAAGGCCUUGAGCGACCUGACAGAACUCGGAAAUACAGGAGCCAUCAAAAACCCUCUCAUCAUCAGGUCAAUAGAAAGCAAACUGCCAGACACAAUGAAGCGGGAUUGGCUACUCCACAUGGUAAAUCCAACAAAUGCAGUAACCCCAGACAACCACUUUGACAAGCUCCUGAGUUACCUGAAAACUGAAGAAGAGGUCUUGGAGAGACUCGAGCAACUUCGAGUGGAUGAGAAGCCGGACAAGAGACCAGCUGACUUCAAGAAGUACGCCUCUACCAGGUCCACGAGUAAAGAGGGCUGUGUUGUCUGCGGUGACGAGCGGCAUGCAGAAAAGCUCUUCUUCUGCAAGAAGUUUAAGGUACUGAAGGUAAAAGACAAGCUAAGUGCUGUGGAGAGGCUGGGAGCCUGCACAAAGUGUUUGGAGUGUCAUGACGAAGACAGUACCUGCAAAGACACUUACCUGUGUAAAAAGCCGGGCUGUAGGAGAGGCCAUCACUUCUUCCUGUGUCAGAAAGCAGACCCUAGAAAAGAGGAGACAGAGACAGCAAAGUCAACCAUGAAGAGGAAUAAACUGACAGAAGAACAACAGCAAUUCAUGUCAGAACUGUCCCCUGAAAUGGCGGAAAAAUGCAAAAGAGCCUUUACAAAUGCGUCUGCAAGAUCCCUCAAAACCGACAGGCCUGGCGGCAUGGAAGUGAGUGCGGUUCAAGAGCUCCCUGUGAUCCUCAUGCUACUGGAAGUUACCACCAAUGCAGGGGAAGGGAUCGGAACUCUAAUCGACUUAGCCUCAGACACGAACUACAUUACCCACCGUGCAGCAAGGAGACUGGGUCUGAGGAGCGAAAAGAUCACACUCGUCGUCCACGGGGUUGGAGGAAUGGCCCUAAAGGUCAAAACAAGGCGAUACCAUCUCAGAGUGAGAGUUAAGACCCCCAGAGGAACGGAACGCGCCCAUGAACUCCUCUGCUACGGCUUGGAAGACAUCGCUAAGGUCCAAAACCCAGUCACUCCUGAACAGCUGAGGAGGUUCUUUCCCAACACCAACCUGGAUGACCUGCGCAGGCCAGAACAAGUCGAACUCCUCAUCAGCCAUCGUGAGGGCCGACUUGUACCACAAAGGACGAAGGUGGUCGGUGACCUCGUUCUCUGGGACGGCCCACUGGGGAAGACAGUCGGUGGAACGCACCCGGACCUGUUUGAAAAAGUGGAUCUGGCGGCGCACACCUCAAAAACCCACUUCGCACGAUCCAUGAGGGCCACAGCUGUGAAGUACCAGGAACUCUGCGACACAAAUGGAAUCUCAGCUGAAACCAGAAGCACUGUAGCCAACAAAGAAUUCCUUAACUGGUGGAAGUGGGACAGUAUUGGAGCAGCUUGUGAACCUAAGUGUGGAGGGUGCAGAUGCGGCAACUGCCAGCCAGGAGGCAAAGAAAUGACACUGAGUGAGGAAAGAGAACUGGAGAUCAUCAGGAGAGGCCUCACCUUCAUCAACACCGAUGAUCACAGCAGUGAAUCACACUGGGACACAAAGUACCCAUGGAUCGAAGAUCCAACUUCUCUGCCCAACAACCGAAGUGGAGUGGAAGCCACUUUCUUGAGAACAGAGAAGCAGCUCAAAAAAGAACCGGAGUGGAAAGUGGGAUAUACAGCUCAAGUCCAUGAAAUGGUGGAAAGAGGAGCAGCAAAGAAGCUCACCAAAGAUACACUGACCAACUGGACAGGACCAGUCUGGUAUGUGAGCCACUUGGUGGCGCCAAAUCCACAUUCCACUACAACACCUGUACGCCUGGUGUGGAAUAGCAGUCAAAAGUUCAGGGGAACAAGCAUGAACGAUCUUCUGCUAAAAGGACCUGACGUCCUCAACCCGAUCAGAGCAGUACUUCUCAGAUUCAGGAGAGGGGUGCAUGCUGCACUCGGCGACAUCAAGAAGAUGUAUAACUCGGUGUGGUUGGAAGACCUGGAAGUACACCUACACAGGUUUCUCUGGAGAGACACAGAAGAUGGCGAACUGGAGGAGUAUGCAAUCACACGAGUUAACAUCGGUGACCGGCCAGCAGGAUGCAUCGCACAGCUGGCCAUGAGAGAGACUGCAAAGCUACCCAUGUUCACUCACCUGGAGGAGGAGCGCAGGAUCCUGGAGGAAGACUCCUAUGUCGACGAUGUACUUACCUCUCACAAUGACCUGGAAAAGCUGGACAAAAGCACAGCAGGAGUUGAAAAAAUCCUCAAAGCAGGUGGAUUCUUCCUGAAGCCCUGGGUCCGGUCAGGCCAAAGUAGGAGGGACAUGCUCGCACCAGAAAGACCAGCAAACAAAUUCCUUAUUCUCCCAAAUCAAAGGAGAGAAGAAGAUGAUAAAGCCCUGGGAGUCGGCUAUCUUGUUGAAAGCGACAAACUGUACCCAAUGACCUCAGUCAACUUCUCAAAGAGGAGAAAGAAAAUGAGAGUGGGUCAAAAUAUCCUGGAGGAAGAGGUGAGAGGGAAAACUCCCAAGCCACUGACUAGAAGACAGCUGUUGAGCCAAGUAGCUAGCCUGUAUGACCCAAUAGGUCUUGUCACUCCUGCGAAACAGAAGGGUGCCAUUCUAGUCAGGAGAGCCUUCCAGGAGGCCGGAACCAGCACAGCCCGAGACACCUGGGACAAGCCACUGUCAGAACAGUUGAGGGAAGAAGCAAUCCAGCUUUUUGAGGAAUACAUCCGCCUCAGCCAAAUAACCUUCCACAGAAGCCUCACACCAUGCAACUGGACCAAAAAACCAUGGGGGAUAACAUUCUCUGAUGGGAGUGACCAGAGCUACGGAGCCGUGGUGUACUUCAGGUGGGAGACUGCACAAGGCAUUGAAGUCAGGCUCAUCGAGUCAAAAGCAAAGCUUACGCCACUUGACCAGAAGGGGGAACCAGUCAAAGCUGAAAUCUGUGGUGCUGUCUAUGCUGUCCGCCUAAGAAGGUACAUUGAGAAGCACUCUCGGAUGGAGAUUGAAAAAUGGCUCCACCUGCUGGACAGUCAAACUGUGUUGGGAGCAAUCCAAAGAGACAGCUAUGGAUAUCAGACGUUCUUUGCGAACAGAGUCGGAGAAAUCCAGAAGACCACAUCCCCUGAUGAGUGGUGGUGGAUCCAGGGAGACCUCAAUGUGGCAGACAUCAUAACAAGAGGUGCAGCCCCAGAAGAUCUCAAAGAGGAUUCUGUGUGGCAGAAUGGACCAGACUUCCUGAAACUACCUGUGGGAGAGUGGCCAAAGAAGUCUGCCAAAGAUGUUGCUACCCAUGCUAGAGAAGGGAUAAACAAGCUUCAAAGAAAGUCCUUCUCAGCAGCACUGACGAGAGCACAGCUCAAGAAAGCCACACACAAUGCGCCAUCUAGUGGUACAAGCAGCCCAGUGACAGUCACAGCCAAAGGAGGUACUGAUGCUCAGCAAAGCACCGCAGAUGGAAAGGGGCCCAGGACUCAACUCCGAAGACCACCAGCUGGUUCUGCAGUAAAAGAACUGAUCAAUGUCAGAAAGUUCAGCAGCUUGACCAAGAUGACCAGAGUUAUCGCCUGGGUGUGGAGAGCUGCAAUGAAGUGGAAAGAAUUACUGGGCAAAACCCAAUCCACAAGUAAGCCAAAGUGGGAGGUGCUCUCAUCGGAAGAGCUAAAAUCCAGAGCAAAACAAGCUGUACUUACCAUCGGCGAGUAUGAAGAUGCUCAGAGAGACCUUUUCCUCGCAGCACAAGAGGGUGCAUGCUUCCAAGACGCCACCCUCAACAGACUGGCUGUGUACAAAGAUACAAAAACCGGACUCUUGGUCUGUGGAGGAAGAUUUCAGAUCUUUGAUGACGACAAAACCACUGUACCAAUCUUACCUUGUGAUGCGUGGGUAUCCUCUCUUCUGGCACAAGAAGCCCACAAUGCAAACCAUGAGGAAAUAGCAGGUACACUCCUGAGGAUGAGGAAAAAAGCAUGGGUCACAAGAGGCCGGAAACUGGCUCAGAAGAUUGUGGACAGCUGUGUGAUAUGCAGAAAGACCAGAGCUAAAAAGUGCCAACAAAUCAUGAGUGACCUCCCAUCCGAACGGAUUACACCAGCAAGACCAUUCGAAUUCACAACAUUGGAUCUAUUCGGACCUUAUGAAGUGAAGGAUGAAGUGAAGAAGAAAACAAGGCUCAAAGUAUGGGGGUUAGUCUUCUGCUGUAUGGCAUCCCGAGCUCUGCACACAGAUGUCGUAAGUGACCAGUCUUCUGAAGGUUUCCUGCUGGCCUACAAAAGAUUCACAGCACUAAGAGGUCAUCCAAAGAAGCUGUGGUCAGACCCUGGGAAAAACUUUGUGGGUGCCAGACCUGCGCUCAAUGACCUGUACACCUUUCUUGGCCAGCUACAAUCGCCAGAGGUUGAGAAUGAAGUCUCCAAGCAUGGGACAGAAUGGAGCUGGAAAAUUCACCCCGCUGAUUCCCCUCAUAGAAAUGGAGCUGCAGAGGCUGCUGUACGCACCGUGAAGCGCGCUCUGCACAACCUGGGAGGAGACGGGUGCUUUACCUGGAGUGAGUUCCAAACCUUCCUCUACAUGGCUGCAAACCUUGCCAAUGAGAGACCCAUAGAUGCCAGAACUCAAAGCCGAGAGGACUGUGUGGAGUACAUCAGCCCAAAUUCUCUUCUGCUUGGGAGAACAGGACCUAGAGGAGACCUCGGAAGCUUCGACUUUGAUGGCUACCCCUACAAAAGGCUAAGAGCAAUUCAAACAGAAGUUGACCGGUUCUGGAGGAAGUGGAGUCAGUUGGCGGGGCCCAAUCUAUUCACCAGGAGCAAGUGGCACACGACACACAGAAAUGUAGCCACAGGAGACAUUGUCUGGCUUGCCGACCAAAAUGCACUGAGGAGUCAGUACAAACUGGCCAGAGUCAUCAGCGUCAAUCCUGACAAGAAGGGCGUCGUCAGAGAUGUUCAUGUCCGAACCUUCCCCAGCUAUCCAGUCUCGACCAUGAAAUCUAACCAGAGGUCAACAAGAAAACUGAAAAUCAAAAUCCCCUCUACAGUCCUGCACAGGGAUGUACGACGGGUCAUUGUUCUAAUACCUGUUGAGGAACAAAAGAACACCAUCAAGGAAAGAGAAAACAACACACACUGACCAUCUACGACUCUUGUGACCUCUCUGAGUUUCACAACCGAGAGGUCAAGUGGGAGGUGUCACGCCAACUGACAAAAAAGCACAACCAAAACAUCAAAAACCUUUCAUUCACUUUGCAAACAAAACAAGUCUUCAGCCGGACCUACAGGGGGCAGUCAAUCAGUUCAACAACACCAGCAAAGCACUCCAACCACUUCCUGUCAAGAGGAGGAACUUCCUGUUAGACGGCCAUCUUAACCAUCAGUUCAACACAUGCUGUGGGAGACAAAGGAGGAAAGUUUGUGGAGAGCAAAAGCUUAAAGAAACAAACCAAACCAAGAAAACUAAAAUCCCUCAGUUCACCGUCAAACGCAACUGGUUUUCAACCUGCUGCUAUUGAAUGACUGAAUGACCCCUUCAUCAACAAAACAAAGUUCAAUAAAACAUAAAAAGGGGAAAUCCUUGUCAAGAGUUGUUCCUUGCGUGACCAAGCUCUUUCAAGUGGAGCAUUAACUGAGGGAUCAAAUAAAAAGAAGAAAAAAAAAACACCAGAACUUGACAGUGUGUUCAGUACGCUUCAAAAGAGGAGGACUCUGUUUGGAUUUCAUGACUUAGUCCAGGUUUCUGAAAAAGCGUGUCAUGCCAUAUAUUUAUAUAAUAAUAACUUUAUGGAUGUGUGCUUUCACUUUGACUAAGUUGAACAGCAUACUGCAGCAUGUGUUGUCUUCACAGUGGAUAUGUGAAAGUGUGUGUGUUGUUGUGUUGAAAAGGAUUUAUACUUCACUUCCCAUGUUCCUAUUGAGAUUUUUGUCAGAUUUUGUCAUCUUUGUAUAAGAAAGACAUUUUCUAGUUGCAGUGUUUUGUAUAAAGGCUAAACAGUAAUUAAAAAAUCUGAGUGGAUUUAAUGAUCCACUUAAAUCCAAAUAAUUUGCCCUGCAGACACGUUGAGGGCUUUUAAAGGUCAGAGAUCUUAACCUGCAACAUCAAACCCAGACUCUUAAGCGAUUAAUAACAUCCUAACAUCUAAAAUGUUGUCAUUUAUGACGACACAUUGAAAUAACUCCAU